Molecule: long non-coding RNA, 4423 nt
Organism: Argiope bruennichi
Lineage: Eukaryota; Metazoa; Arthropoda; Arachnida; Araneae; Araneidae
Exons: 3
Source: RefSeq, a predicted model, not a curated record
CAUAAACAAAAGUAGAAAGAACUGUCCGAUUGAAUGUCCAUGUUAAGUAUGCUUGAAAAGUGCCAGAAUAUUUCUGCCUGAAUAGACUUACUUUUUACAUACAUUGUAUGAAUUGUAACAGUGUGUGUACUAAACCAAGUGUCUUCUUUAAGAUCAUAUUGAUGCUCUAUUUUCCUAACAACGAACUGAUCUGCUGAUAAAAUAUUACUACUUCCAAAAGUGGACAUUAAUAUAGCUGAAACCUAAACCUACUGAUACAAUAUGGAUAAAUUAAAGAUUCGAAGAUCUUAUUUUCAAACAAUUUUGGAUUUUUUGCCUCAUUUUGGAUCAUUUGGAAAUCGAUUACCGACAGUGAGCCGUGUACAAGAUAUUGAAUCUGACUUUGCUCGUUUAGAAAUCAGAAGUGGUCAUUUCCCGAGACUUAUUCUUUCAUUACAUCAGCAGUUUGCUUUCAAUGGAUUAAAUAGUAUUUUUUCUCCAUAUGUGAUGCCAGAUAAUAAUAAUAGUGGAACAAGAGCUCAGCUUCUGCUGACUUUUAGGAGUCAGCAAUAAUGAGAAUGAUGUAUUUAAAUUUUUAAAAAAUGUUUUGGAUGUAAUCAAUUAUCGGAGUGAAUUUGUAAUAUAGCAAGAGAUAUUGUUACAAAUAUCUUGAGUAACUAGAAAAUUAAAUUUGUAUACUCUUUUUCUAGUCAUGUUUGAUUUUGAAAUGUUUUAUUUUAUACUGAGUUUUAUGAGGAAAUGAGCUUUUAAUUCAUUCAUUCAUUCUUUUUCCUCUAAAACUUUGUACAGUGAUGAAUUAUAUGUAAUAUGAAAAUGUGUCCUGUAAAUUAAGAAUAUUCACUGAAAACCUCAGUAGAUGUAUAAUGUAAUUAACUGAGUAUUAUCUUAAUGAACAAAAUUUUAACUGUACUUUUAGCGUCUGUACUCAAACUUUGUAUGAAAUUGUGUGUUUUUGAUUCUAAAAUCUCGAAUAUUUUUUAUCAGUUUUGAACCGUUUUUAAAUAUAAUUUGAUUUAAAGAACAAAUUUUCCUUUUUAUUGUGUCCAUUAAGCAGAAACUCUUGUUUUUAUGUUGAAAUUAUUUUUCAUAAAUUUUUUGGUAUUUACUGUUUAAUUGUAACUUUUAAAUUGCACGAGUAAAUUGUUAUUCUUUAUCUAUUUCGAUAUUUUACUUAUUUUUCUAGUGUAAUAUAAUAGGUAACAAAUCGUGCAUCAUGUAAAUUUUGCUUAGUAAGUUUAAGUGUUGUAGAUUUAAUGAUGCUGGCAUUUUAUUACUUAUGGCUGAAUUGUUAUAACAAGGAUAAGUGGUGCCCAGAGAAUAAUGGAAUUUUUUCCUUCGCCUCUAGUUAUUAUCAGUAGUAAACUAAUGUUCAGUAUUAUUUUUUUUACCUCUUCAACAAAUUUAACUUUUAAAUAAUGACAUAUGCAUUAACAUUUUGUUCCAUAGCAGUCUCUAAGUCUGGUAUUCUGUGUAUCUAUAUCCCCCAUCCCAUUGCUAUGCCACUGAGACUGAACUAAUAGUAAUCAUUUGCUUUAAAAAAUUUUAUAUUUAACAGUUUUAUUGGAAAUUUAUGCAGUAAUUAAUUAUGGCAUUGAGAAAUUCAUAUUUAUGAAGAAAAAGUCCCACAGUAAAGCACUUUUUACAAUUUCUUUUUUUAAAUGUCUUGUGUUUAAUUUUUUUAAAAAAUUAUUACAUUAAAUAAAAUUCUUUAAUUAUAAGUCUGAGCUUUAUAUAUGUUACUUCAUACGAAUGGUUCUAAUAAAUUUUAUUUGGUUUUAAUUAUUAUUGGAUUAACCAUGGAAAUUUAGAUUGAUGGUGUUGAAUUAAUAUUGGUGAUAUAACUUCAGAUAUACUUAUCUUUCUGCUGGUAUGGAUUUCAACACUAUGUUUUAUACUUUAAGUUUUGUUUUUCAUUAUUUUUAAAUUUAAAAAUGGGUACCAAGCCUCAAAAUCCGUUUUUAUUUUGUGGUUACAGUAAAGGAAGAAUGAUAAUAUCCCUGCUUCUUCAUAAUAGAAAUUAGAUGUCAGAAUAUGUCAGUUUUUUUAGAAGUAAUUUAAAAAUUGCAAAUCUCCCCCCCCCCCCUAUUUUUUUUGUUCAUUAUGGACCAUCUUUUUCUUGAUAGAUAAGAUGUAACAAAGUAGCUUGCACCUUAAACUGUGUGAGUGCUUGGGGUUGAUAUUCAGGUAUAGAUAGAACAUAAGAAAUUUUUUUAAUCUGUUACAUAUUUCUAAAAUGGUACUGUGCCAUGGAAUUUCUUGGCAAACAUGGCUCUUUAUAAACAAUAGUAUGUAUUUAAAAAAUUAAUCUGUUGGAUAUAUAUAAGGUACCCCUUCCCAAAAGGGCAGCAAGCAUUUAUUUCCCUAAUUAUUGCACAUAUACAUGUAAUUGUAAUUAUAAAGUUUUAUUAAAUUAUGUGGGUAAUUGUUUGAAAAUGUCUUUGCACCUUAGGAGGUUUUAAGUUAAAAAAAAAAUAAUGUCCCCCAGAAUGUGAAAAUGCCAAUUAGUUAAAUGUUUCUUUUACAUUCUUCUGUGCACAUACAAAGUUUCACAUUUCUACGCAUAACAUUGGUAGAUAUGCUACUUUUUAAAUUUGAAGGGACUAAUCGCAUAUUUAGACGAAGACAUUUAUUUCAAAGAUACAAUUUUAUUCAAUACAGAAAAUCUGUUAUUUAUAAAUAUUUAUUUAGUUUCACAACAUCCAAUCAACAUGACUUCAAAGAAAUUUGCUUAUCACAUGCAAUAUUUUCACUUUGAUUGGUUGAUUUUAUAAAGAAGGGAAGAGAAACUUGAUAAAAUAAACAUUCAAGAUAUUUUGGAGAAGUACUAGCAUACCGAGCAAGAAAAUAACAUUCUUUGGUCGCAAUUCUGUGCUUUCUAGAAGAAUGACAUUUUCAGUAACAAGGAUUGUUUGAUAUUCUGACGAUUUAUGUUAUAUAUAAUCGUAAUGCUGGUCUAAUUGAUAAAGAAUACAACAGUUGUUUUUCGAAUUACCAGCGUCCUUUUAAGAAAUGUUUUUACAGAACAUUUUAUCCAUUAUAGUAUCCUUAUUUACAACCUACAAGAUCCUUAUUUUCAAGGGAGAAAUUAGACGUUAUACAUGUGAUAUAGAAAUUGUCAUUUUGCCUUUCUUUUUAAGUUAAUCUCAUGCUAGUGUAUGAACAAUCUGUUCAGAUUCCAAAACCAACAGUGUUGAGAAUAUUUGAAAGUAAUAACUGGCAUUUUUAUAAUAUUCAUGGAGUCCUUGAACAGUUAUCAUGAUUAAAUGGACAACUACGUGAUUGACAUUUUGGCUUUUUGCAAGUGGGUACCUAAUUUACCCAAUUGGGUAUGAAUUUACCUGAGGUAAAAUCAAAUCCUUCCUUUCUGACAAAUGCAAUUUGGACAAACGUAUGUUGCUUUAAUCGUGAUAGAAGCAUUAAUCUUCAAAACUAUGACUUUUAGAACGGUAAAAAUCUAUUUUUCGUACUUGGUUUCAUCACCAGUGGCCAUUUUUUUUACAAAUUUGUGGUGUGGAAUUUAUAGACACUAAUCAGUGGAUUCCGUUUUGUACAACAGUAUGCGGAAUGGUGAUCGAUUUGUAUAAAAGUGCUAUACUCUAUCUUCACAACUAUUUCCUUCAAUUCAAAUUUUUAUAUAUUUUGUGUUUUGACAUUUUCAUUGCUUGUUAUCACCAAUCAUGUACAUGUCUUCCAGAAUAAUGCUUGCAUUUCUGUCAUUUCAUGGGUUUUUUUUCCCCUUUUUUUAUUUGUGUGAAGAAGAUAUUAAUCUGAUUUUUAUUAUGGAAAAUAUUAUAUGAACUUAUGUAUGUGUGUGUUGUUUAUAUUAAUGUUAAAUGAUAUUUUGUUUCCUGUGCAUGUACUAGGGAUUAUUACUUUUGAUUUAAGUACUUACUGGUGCCACUUUAACAAUUAAGUGAUAAAUAUAUUAUCCAUAAAAUAGUUAAGAAAAAAAAGCCAACAAAACCACAAAGUGAGUCAUAUUGUAAAUAUUGCAGUUAAAAUUUUGAUCUAUCCAAUUUAUUCUUCCUGAUUAAACAAAUCUAUGAGCAUAAUAAAGCCUUAUAUUCUGCGUUUUUUAGAAUUGCUGACAAAUUAGUAUUUGCUUUAAUAUUGUCUAACCAGUCUCCUUUUAUGAUUAGUAUACUUAUAAAAUGUUCAUUCGGAAUAAUUAUGUUUAAUUGUCUAUUUACUUAAUGUAAAAUCAGCACAAUUGUUGAAAAAUCCACUUUACUUGAAUGGCUACUUCUUCCUUACAUGGAUAGCCUUGUAUACUUUAGAUGUUAGUGUAAUAAGUUCUUGUAAGACUGUUGUUUUGUACUUUUUGAUAUACUUCUUUAUAUUUUAAGCAUUUACAAUUACUAUUUGUAUGUUUUGUAUGAUGUUAUAUUUGUAAUUUUGAAAUAAAUUCCUUUCUUAAAUCAAA